This 314-nucleotide unclassified non-coding RNA is filed under the name Hevea brasiliensis (rubber tree). Lineage: Eukaryota; Viridiplantae; Streptophyta; Magnoliopsida; Malpighiales; Euphorbiaceae. The record is from RNAcentral.
AUGUGUGUACCUAACAGAUAUGACCAUCAAAAUUAAGGAAAAACACAAUGUAACUAAAUCUAUGAAUCCAUAUCUGCAAUAAUGUGGGAUGGAAUACCAAGCAUUGAUUCCACUAGAAAAACCAUGCAUAUAUCUCUAAGCUGUGCUACUUGUAUUCAGUUAUGUGGAUAUGCAAAAUUCCAUAGAUUUUAAAUUGGAGUGUAAAUUUAAUUGGCUAGUUUGGAACUCAUUUUAAAUUUAUUCGCAUUUAACUUAUUUAUCAAACUUGUAAGCUAAAUUCGUAUUUAACUUAUUUAUCAAAUUUUUAAACUCAA